This is a small nucleolar RNA of Mustela putorius furo (domestic ferret), 140 nucleotides long. The record is from Ensembl. Lineage: Eukaryota; Metazoa; Chordata; Mammalia; Carnivora; Mustelidae.
GCAUGGCUGAAUACUGUGUUCUUUUUAUCGGUAGUUUACACAGCCAGACAUCAUGCAAAAGUAAAGUCUUCCCUCUAAAAUGCCUGUGAUGGUAUGCUAAGCUUUUUCAUAGCAUAUCAUAUUUAAAAGUGGGUACAGUU